RNAcentral lists this ribosomal RNA (763 nucleotides) under uncultured Streptococcus sp. RNAcentral's name for it is "bacterial SSU rRNA". It matches the Rfam family "Bacterial small subunit ribosomal RNA", at positions 28 to 776 of the family's 1533-position model. The record is from RNAcentral. Lineage: Bacteria; Bacillati; Bacillota; Bacilli; Lactobacillales; Streptococcaceae.
GACGAACGCGGGCGGCGUGCGUAAUACAUGCAAGUAGAACGCUGAAGGAGGAGCUUGCUUCUCCGGAUGAGUUGCGAACGGGUGAGUAACGCGUAGGUAACCUGCCUGGUAGCGGGGGAUAACUAUUGGAAACGAUAGCUAAUACCGCAUAACAGUAGAUAUUGCAUGAUAUCUGCUUGAAAGGUGCAAUUGCAUCACUACCAGAUGGACCUGCGUUGUAUUAGCUAGUUGGUGGGGUAACGGCUCACCAAGGCGACGAUACAUAGCCGACCUGAGAGGGUGAUCGGCCACACUGGGACUGAGACACGGCCCAGACUCCUACGGGAGGCAGCAGUAGGGAAUCUUCGGCAAUGGACGGAAGUCUGACCGAGCAACGCCGCGUGAGUGAAGAAGGUUUUCGGAUCGUAAAGCUCUGUUGUAAGAGAAGAACGAGUGUGAGAGUGGAAAGUUCACACUGUGACGGUAUCUUACCAGAAAGGGACGGCUAACUACGUGCCAGCAGCCGCGGUAAUACGUAGGUCCCGAGCGUUGUCCGGAUUUAUUGGGCGUAAAGCGAGCGCAGGCGGUUAGAUAAGUCUGAAGUUAAAGGCUGUGGCUUAACCAUAGUACGCUUUGGAAACUGUUUAACUUGAGUGCAAGAGGGGAGAGUGGAAUUCCAUGUGUAGCGGUGAAAUGCGUAGAUAUAUGGAGGAACACCGGUGGCGAAAGCGGCUCUCUGGCUUGUAACUGACGCUGAGGCUCGAAAGCGUGGGGAGCAAACAGG